CACCCUGUGACAUACCUAAAACGUUGCUUCGGCGGGAACAGACGGCCCCGUAAAACGGGCCGCCCCCGCCAGAGGACCCCUAACUCUGUUGCUAUAUGUAUCUUCUGAGUAAACAAGCAAAUAAAUUAAAACUUUCAACAACGGAUCUCUUGGCUCUGGCAUCGAUGAAGAACGCAGCGAAAUGCGAUAAGUAAUGUGAAUUGCAGAAUUCAGUGAAUCAUCGAAUCUUUGAACGCACAUUGCGCCCGCCAGUAUUCUGGCGGGCAUGCCUGUUCGAGCGUCAUUACAACCCUCAGGCCCCCGGGCCUGGCGUUGGGGAUCGGCGAGGCGCCCCCUGUGGGCACGCGCCGUCCCCCAAAUACAGUGGCGGUCCCGCCGCAGCUUCCAUUGCGUAGUAGCUAACACCUCGCAACUGGAGAGCGGCGCGGCCAUGCCGUAAAACACCCAACUUCUGAAUGUUGACCUCGAAUCAGGUAGGAAUACCCGCUGAACUUAAGCAUAUC
This is a ribosomal RNA of 503 nucleotides. The stretch from base 130 to 283 matches the Rfam family "5.8S ribosomal RNA".